CCUACGGGAGGCAGCAGUGGGGAAUUUUGGACAAUGGGCGCAACCCUGAUCCAGCAAUGCCGCGUGGAUGAUGAAGGCUUUCGGGUUGUAAAGCUCUUUCAGACGGRAAGAAAUGAUCCUGGCUAAUAUCCAGGUUUAAUGACGGUACCCUGAGAAUAAGCACCG
RNAcentral lists this ribosomal RNA (165 nucleotides) under uncultured bacterium. RNAcentral's name for it is "partial 16S ribosomal RNA". It matches the Rfam family "Bacterial small subunit ribosomal RNA", at positions 338 to 495 of the family's 1533-position model. The record is from RNAcentral.